GGUUGAUCCAAUGGUAAUGGGUUAUCAGAACUUAUUAGUGGCACUAAUGUUGCUGUUCAACGCCCCACUGCUAAAUUUGACUGACUUAAA
Unclassified non-coding RNA from Cercocebus atys (sooty mangabey), 90 nucleotides. It matches the Rfam family "Y RNA". Rfam says of the family: Y RNAs are components of the Ro ribonucleoprotein particle (Ro RNP), in association with Ro60 and La proteins. The Y RNAs and Ro60 and La proteins are well conserved, but the function of the Ro RNP is not known. In humans the RNA component can be one of four small RNAs -- hY1, hY3, hY4 and hY5. NCBI's taxonomy places the organism in Eukaryota, Metazoa, Chordata, Mammalia, Primates, Cercopithecidae. The record is from Ensembl.